GGAUGAGCCCGCGGCCUAUCAGCUUGUUGGUGGGGUGAUGGCCUACCAAGGCGACGACGGGUAGCCGGCCUGAGAGGGCGACCGGCCACACUGGGACUGANACACGGCCCAAACUCCUACGGGAGGCAGCAGUGGGGAAUAUUGCACAAUGGGCGAAAGCCUGAUGCAGCGACGCCGCGUGAGGGAUGACGGCCUUCGGGUUGUAAACCUCUUUCAGCAGGGAAGAAGCNAAAGUGACGGUACCUGCAAAAGAAGCGCCGGCUAACUACGUGCCAGCAGCCGCGGUAAUACGUAGGGCGCAAGCGUUGUCCGGAAUUAUUGGGCGUAAAGAGCUCGUAGGCGGCUUGUCGCGUCGGAUGUGAAAGCCCGGGGCUUAACCCCGGGUCUGCAUUCGAUACGGGCAGGCUAGAGUUCGGUAGGGGAGAUCGGAAUUCCUGGUGUAGCGGUGAAAUGCGCAGAUAUCAGGAGGAACACCGGUGGCGAAGGCGGAUCUCUGGGCCGAUACUGACG
This 510-nucleotide ribosomal RNA is filed under the name Streptomyces himastatinicus. RNAcentral describes it as "bacterial SSU rRNA". It matches the Rfam family "Bacterial small subunit ribosomal RNA", at positions 223 to 745 of the family's 1533-position model. Lineage: Bacteria; Bacillati; Actinomycetota; Actinomycetes; Kitasatosporales; Streptomycetaceae. The record is from RNAcentral.